AAACUAUCCUUACAAUAUCAGAUGUAUACCAGCCGGUAUCCUUACUAAAUCAGAUGUAGUCAUCCUGUAUCCUUACAUUAACAGAUGUAUGCCAAAAUGUAUCCUUACAGUAUCAGAUGUAUGCCAAACUGUAUCCUUACAAAAUCCCAUGUAUGCAAAACUAUCCUUACAAUAUAAGAUGUAUGCCAGCCUGUAUCCUUACAAAAUCAGAUGUAUGCCAGCCUGUAUCCUAACAAAAUCAGAUGUAUGCCAAACUAUAUCCUUACAAAAUCAGAUGUAUGACCUCAUGUAUCCUUAGAUUCCUUACUUUAUCAGAUGUAUGCCAAACUAUAUCCUUACAAAAUCAGAUGUAUGCAAAACUAUCC
RNAcentral lists this long non-coding RNA (365 nucleotides) under Mytilus galloprovincialis (Mediterranean mussel). The record is from RNAcentral. Lineage: Eukaryota; Metazoa; Mollusca; Bivalvia; Mytilida; Mytilidae.